UUUGGCAGUCAUAGUGCAAUAGCUCCACCUGAAUCCAUCCCGAACUCAGAAGUGAAAUGUUGUGAUGCCGAUGGUAGUGUAGGGUUUCCCUAUGCGAGAGUAGGACACUGCCAAGU
This 116-nucleotide ribosomal RNA is filed under the name Rodentibacter genomosp. 1. Lineage: Bacteria; Pseudomonadati; Pseudomonadota; Gammaproteobacteria; Pasteurellales; Pasteurellaceae. The record is from RNAcentral.